AAAGGGUGUUAACACGUUUAUAACGGAAAGUGCAACGGAAAAUGUCGAGAUUAAGGAGGUAGUAUUGUACAUCACCCUACUAUCCUUAGUAUUAAAUCAAUGCUACUCAAUGGAGGGUUCUAAUCAUAAUUAUACGUACAUUGGAUGCUUUGAAGAUCGCGUUGAAAGAUUAUUGCCUGCUGGACCUUACACAACAACAAAAAAUGAAAUGUCCACCAACAUCUGCUUUAACCACUACAAUUCUAAAAGCUAUAAAUAUUUUGCAACAGAGUUCGGAACCGAAUGCUGUUGUGGUCAUUUGGGAAAAGUCGGUUCUGGCCAGUAUCCAAGAAAAAAAGAAACAGACUGCAACAAAACAUGCAAAGUUCAUGUAACAACAAAAUGUGCUGGCACAUGGAGAGCGUCAGUUAAAUAGAUAUGGUAAUCAGUUAUCGACGACAAAACAUACACCAACAAGUCCGAAACAAAGUCAAUCUGUUAUAGCUGAAUUUUCAAUAUACACGGUGGUUAUCGAGCCUGUCUUGGUCUUAUUAUUCGUGGCUGCUUUAGUUGUCUCCCUUGUCGUUUGCUUCAGAAGAAAGAGAGGCAAGGAUCAUAAUAUAACAGAAAAAAACUGAUUUACCCAGUUAUACCACAGUAAAUUACAAUGAAAUGAAAGAUAUCGUUGUCCCUGAGAUGAAUGAGAGCAGACAUAGAUAUAACGCAGCUCAAUGUGAACCAAACAACAUUUCCGCUUCCAUUCAACAGGAAGAAAACAACUGCAACAAUUAUGAAUCAUUAUCAAACAACCGCAAGUCAGUUGAACAUAUUUAUCAAUCGGAAUCUGUUCACAACAAUCAGUUAUCAUUGGAUGAACAUACAUAUAAAUCAACAGAAGAGGCAAUGCAAGCAUCGAUGGGUCCAAACUUAGUGCAAUAUCAAUCACUAACUUACUCUCUUGAAUCAGAUAACCACGUUUAUUCAUCAACAGUUCUAUAUAGUAACGUGCUAUAAGUUAAUAACUAAAUUUAAAAUUUAAUACUGAAAUUGUUAUACAUAAUUUAAUCUAUUUAUUCAACCUAUUUCUGAGGUUAAAAGGGUAAAGGUACAUCGUUUCCUCUCUGAAUUUUCGAAUUUGAUUGAUCAAUGUUCAACUUGCAUUUCUUCAUACAGAUAAAAUCAGGAUGAUUUAUUUAAGUAAAUCAUAGAUUGUGCUACACCAAAACGCUUAGACGAAUUUACAAUUUAACAAAUAUAUAGCACAUGAAUUAACAGUCAGUACACAGUGAGGUAAAUCACUCUAGACCCAUAUUUUUUUUUCUCCGAUUAAUCUUUCUCCGUCCUCUUGCUUGGUGUAUGGUUAAUAAAGAGUCCAUCUCAACAAACAGAGGCAGUCAUAUCGAGGCUGAUAUGUCUUUGUCAGGAGAAACCGUUCUAUCAUAUCUAUGGACUAAAACAAUGUAAAACAGCGUUUAUACUGCUCUAUAUUUAGAUGUUUUAAGUUUGGUUGACAAAUGGAAGCUAUGUCAAUUUCUACGAUCCCCUUGAGUUUAAGUAAAUUAAAGUAUAAAGAGAUUCCAAUGGAUAUUCUAUUAAGCAAGACUUCGUUGACCUAAAAAGUAAGAUAACAAAAAUACCGAACUCCUAGGAAAAUUCUUAAUUGAAAGUCCCUUAACGAAUGGCAAAAUCAAAUGUUUAAACACAUCAAACGAAUGGAAAACAACUGUCAUAUGCCUGACUUACAGGCAUUUCCUUAUGUAGAAAAUGAUGGAUUAAACUUGGUUUAUAGCUAGCUAAACCUCCCACUUGUACGUUUAGCUAUAGGUGGACAAUUAUUAUUUCAUUUCGUAGAGCGGUUUGGAAUGUUUACAAAAUUGUGUUUCGUUUGGCCUGUUUGAACCUAUAUUGAUUAUAUACUUCAACCCCAAAGCAAAACAAUUGUUUAUUUUGUAAUAACCAUUGUAAACACAUUCAAUUUGGUAGACAUAAUUUUGUAUACAUCAUACAUUUUACAAUACACCACAAUAAAAAUAAUCUGGUGAAAUAGACACCAUAGAGAUGUAUACACAUGUCAAAUCAAUAUAGAAUUAAUUGCAAACAAAGAGUAAACCUGUACAUUAAAAAAACCUGUUUGUUUUUACAGAUAUUUGUAAUUGUAGCUCUAUUUCGUUGAGUAAAAUACGUUUGAUCUGUUCCCAAAAGUGUUAAACAAAGUCUUGUAGCUUCGAAAAAGCUGUACAUUAAGAAAUAUUCUAAAUUGCUUUACAUAAUAUAUAUAGAAAUGUGCUUGCCAAAUUACGUUCCAAUUUAAAUAGCUAGCUUGUGAUUGCUUGUUUCUUAAUUUACAAAAAGUAAUUGCAUCUGUGUCGAAUAAAAUGUCUAAAUAAUUUUCAUUCUGAAUUUGGUGUUUAAUAAAUUGGUAAAGAAGACCCUUAUGUAAUGUUUCAGUGUUUGAAAACCAUUUCGGAAGAAAUUAAUCGACAAUAGAAUUGGGGUUUUGGUUAACGACUUACAAUUCUAAUUGGUUUGUGUCCACCAUAAGUGUUCAUGUCCACAUGUUUUAAUCGAUUUUCGUUCCAAUGUAGACACUCUGAAAUAAAAGAAAAAUAUAAUGUUUCAAAUAUA
Molecule: long non-coding RNA, 2604 nt
Organism: Mytilus californianus (California mussel)
Lineage: Eukaryota; Metazoa; Mollusca; Bivalvia; Mytilida; Mytilidae
Exons: 5
Source: RefSeq, a predicted model, not a curated record